AUGAAUUCAAUAGAAUCAUACUAUCAGACAGCUCCCCCAUCCAAAAGACUUGAAGGCUCUCAUUGGUGGAAAACCCACCUUAAGCUUUCGCCUAUUUAUAAAGAACCUGCUAUAUUUUCAUUUGGUCGGGGAGACACCAUUUUAUUGUGGCAUGACAGAUGGAAUAACGAGGCUCUUCCUGAAAAAUUUCCCGAUCUAUACUCUUUCGUCAUCAAUGGACAUGCUUCCUUUAAGCAGCUUAUUUCCUCGGGAGAUCUAGUCGAGCACUUCCACAUACCCCUCUCAAACCAAGCAUAUCAGCAGCUCUUGGAGUUUGAAAAUAUAGUCCUCCAGAACCCCGCUAAUUCUGACAGAGACAUUUGGAAAUGUGGGUCAUCCUCAAAUGCCUAUUCAUCUAUGUUCAUGUAUAAAGCCGUCAUGGGUUAG
This 426-nucleotide ribosomal RNA is filed under the name Triticum aestivum (bread wheat). RNAcentral describes it as "partial small subunit ribosomal RNA". Lineage: Eukaryota; Viridiplantae; Streptophyta; Magnoliopsida; Poales; Poaceae. The record is from RNAcentral.